RNAcentral lists this ribosomal RNA (468 nucleotides) under uncultured bacterium. RNAcentral's name for it is "partial 16S ribosomal RNA". It matches the Rfam family "Bacterial small subunit ribosomal RNA", at positions 28 to 507 of the family's 1533-position model. The record is from RNAcentral.
GACGAACGCUGGCGGCGUGCUUAACACAUGCAAGUCGAACGGAAAGACCCUGCUUUUGUGGGGUGCUCGAGUGGCGAACGGGUGAGUAACACGUGAGUAACCUGCCCUUGACUUUGGGAUAACUUCAGGAAACUGGGGCUAAUACCGGAUAGGAGCUCCUGCUGCAUGGUGGGGUUUGGAAAGUUUCGGCGGUUGGGGAUGGACUCGCGGCUUAUCAGCUUGUUGGUGGGGUAGUGUCUUACCAAGGCUUUGACGGGUAGCAGGCCUGAGAGGGUGACCGGCCACAUUGGGACUGAGAUACGGCCCAGACUCCUACGGGAGGCAGCAGUGGGGAAUAUUGCACAGUGGGCGGAAGCCUGAUGCAGCAACGCCGCGUGCGGGAUGACGGCCUUCGGGUUGUAAACCGCUUUCGCCUGUGACGAAGCGUGAGUGACGGUAAUGGGUAAAGAAGCACCGGCUAACUACGUG